Molecule: small nuclear RNA, 105 nt
Organism: Phodopus roborovskii (desert hamster)
Lineage: Eukaryota; Metazoa; Chordata; Mammalia; Rodentia; Cricetidae
Source: RefSeq, a predicted model, not a curated record
GUGUUCAUUUCAGCAGCACAUAAACUAAAUUGGAAUGACAUAGAGAAGAUUAGCAUGUCUCCUGGCCAAAGAUGACUCACAAGUUGUGAACAAUUGGAAUUAUGA